This 408-nucleotide ribosomal RNA is filed under the name uncultured bacterium. Its description in RNAcentral is "partial 16S ribosomal RNA". It matches the Rfam family "Bacterial small subunit ribosomal RNA", at positions 28 to 526 of the family's 1533-position model. The record is from RNAcentral.
GACGAACGCUGGCGGCGUGCCUAAUACAUGCAAGUCGACCUUAGUGGCGAACGGGUGAGUAACACGUGGGUAACCUGCCCAUCAGAAGGGGAUAACUACUGGAAACGGUAGCUAAUACCGCAUACCAUCGGAUGUGCCCAGAUGGGAUUAGCUAGUAGGUGGGGUAAAGGCUCACCUAGGCGACGAUCCCUAGCUGGUCUGAGAGGAUGAUCAGUCACACUGGAACUGAGACACGGUCCAGACUCCUACGGGAGGCAGCAGUAGGGAAUCUUCGGCAAUGGACGAAAGUCUGACCGAGCAACGCCGCGGGAGUGAAGAAGGUUUUCGGAUCGUAAAACUCUGUUGUUAGAGAAGCGGUAUCUAACCAGAAAGCCACGGCUAACUACGUGCCAGCAGCCGCGGUAAUAC